RNAcentral lists this ribosomal RNA (433 nucleotides) under uncultured bacterium. RNAcentral's name for it is "partial 16S ribosomal RNA". It matches the Rfam family "Bacterial small subunit ribosomal RNA", at positions 29 to 507 of the family's 1533-position model. The record is from RNAcentral.
AACGAACGCUGGCGGCAUGCUUAACACAUGCAAGUCGAACGAGACCUUCGGGUCUAGUGGCGCACGGGUGCGUAACGCGUGGUAACCUGCCCUUAGGUUCGCAACAACUCCCCGAAAGGGGUGCUAAUAUCGGAUAAUGUCUUCGUACCAAAGAUUUAUCGCCUUUGGAUGGGGCCGCGUUGGAUUAGCUAGUUGGUAGGGUAAAAGCCUGCCAAGGCGAAGAUCCAUAGUUGGUUUGAGAGGAUGAUCAGCCACACUGGGACUGAGACAAGGCCCAGACUCGUACGAGAGGCAGCAAUGAGGAAUAAUGGACAAUGGGCGAGAGCCUGAUCCAGCAAUGGCGCGAGGGUGAUGAAGGCGUUAGGGUUGGAAAGCUCGUGUACCCGGGAUGAUAAUGACAGUACCGGGAGAAUAAGCUCCGGCUAACUACGUG